AAUGUGUAGUUCAUUAAAAAAGUAUCCAUAUGCAUGGCUAAAUUUAAUAGACUUUACCUUUUACUUACAAAAUUGUUAAAUGUUCUUCGGAACAUUGAUUCUAUUCCAUUUCUUGAAAUAUCACAGAAACCUUCAAUUCAAAGAAUGGAUUUUCACACUUCCCCUUUUAACUUUUUUUUUUCUUCUAGAUACCCGUGUGCCCUUUAAUUUUAAAAAGAUCUUUACCGGGGGUAGGGAUGGGGGUGACAAAUACCGCCCUGCGUUUUUGGUGCCCACUUCUUUGUCUGGGGAAUGGCAAGAAGGGGACUGGGAUCCCGUACUCAAGAGCCCCUUUUAAAGACCCAGACCGGGGACGCCUCUGGUUUCAGCAGCUCCCUCCGCUGAGUUAUUGAUUGCAGGCAGCAGCAGUCCCUCAGGUUGAUUUGUGUGGAAAGUGAAUCCUCGCUGGAUAGGCGUUCAGCAGAGGCGCCGCAGCCGCAAAGCCAGCCAAUUAUUGCCGGUCCUCCCCUCCAACCCCGCGCUCACUACCUACACACUCCUUGCUGUGUCAGUCUCCACUUCCCCUCUACCCACGAUCCACCCCCCCUCCCCGCGCGGACGGAGCCGAGGGGGCGGUGGUGGGGGGGCUCCCUCCCCGGGAGCGUUUCUAGAGCUCGGAGGCAGCUCGCAGGGGUUUGACAGUCCACAUGUUUAAGUCUAACAGAAGAAAACAAAAAUCACUGGAUAUGAAGUUAUGAGACAGACCCAAGUCUACAUCUACAUCCUCAUGGUUGGUGACCUUGGAUAAAUUUCAUUUUUGUGCUUCUGUUUCAUUUUCUUUAAAAUGAGUAGUUGAAAGCUUCAAAGACUCAAAGAUUUCAUGAACUUAAAAGAAGACUGAUUGAAAGAAAUGCGUGGCCAUUAUUACCUCGCUGCUCAGUUUAUUCAUGGACACAUACUUGUUACAUACAUCUGAAGUUUCCUUAAGGAAAUGAACUCUGUGGAUGUGAUACUUGGCCAUUGGGAGAAGUGGAAUAAAUAAGAAAAAAAAAGGGGGAACAAGUUAGUGACAAAGGAGCCGUGGGCACCACUUUCAGAUAAAAACAUAGACCUGAAUGGCAUCAUCCAGUAUCCAAGGAAACCAUGCACUGUGGUGUAUCCUGAGCAGGACCGAGACAAGGGUGUUUUUCUUAAGAGCCACUGAUUUAGUCAAUUAUCAAAAAUCACAUUAUAAUAAAUGCUGUUCUAAGAAUUUUGAUUAACCUUUAAAUAAAUGUUACUUUGAAAAAAAAAACCCCUGCCAAAUGUGUUAAUAAUAAAUUGUGAAGUGGUA
Long non-coding RNA from Bos taurus (domestic cattle), 1312 nucleotides. Lineage: Eukaryota; Metazoa; Chordata; Mammalia; Artiodactyla; Bovidae. The record is from Ensembl.